Molecule: ribosomal RNA, 427 nt
Filed under: uncultured bacterium
Lineage: Bacteria
Description: bacterial SSU rRNA
Rfam family: Bacterial small subunit ribosomal RNA
Source: RNAcentral
UGGGGAAUUUUGGACAAUGGGCGCAAGCCUGAUCCAGCAAUGCCGCGUGCAGGAUGAAGGCCUUCGGGUUGUAAACUGCUUUUGUACGGAGCGAAAAGGUCUGCCCUAAUACGGUGGGCUCAUGACGGUACCGUAAGGAUAAGCACCGGCUAACUACGUGCCGGCAGCCGCGGUAAUACGUAGGGUGCGAGCGUUAAUCGGAAUUACUGGGCAUAAAGCGUGCGCAGGCGGUUAUAUAAGACAGGUGUGAAAUCCCCGGGCUCAACCUGGGACCUGCGUUUGUGACUGUAUAGCUAGAGUACGGUAGAGGGGGAUGGAAUUCCGCGUGUAGCAGUGAAAUGCGUAGAUAUGCGGAGGAACACCGAUGGCGAAGGCAAUCCCCUGGACCUGUACUGACGCUCAUGCACGAAAGCGUGGGGAGCAAACA